Papilio machaon (common yellow swallowtail) is the source of this 1127-nucleotide long non-coding RNA. RefSeq lists it as uncharacterized. The record is from RefSeq and is a predicted model, not a curated record. The transcript is spliced from 3 exons. NCBI's taxonomy places the organism in Eukaryota, Metazoa, Arthropoda, Insecta, Lepidoptera, Papilionidae.
UUUAGCUAAAUAGUCUACGCUCUCAUUUCCUUGAACACCAAUAUGUGACGGAGUCCAUAAGAAUUUUACUUCCAAAUAAUUUUCUUUCAAUUUCCACCACAAACUUUUGAUUUCAUAUAUGAUGAAAGACGUUUUAGCAUCUAAGGUUCUUGUUUUCAAUGCUUUUAAGACACUCAUGCUAUCGGAGAUCAGUAACCAUUUAUUAGAUAUAUGUGGGUUUUCUUCUAUAUAUUUAAGAGCGAUUAAAACAGCAUAACAUUCUGCAGUGUAUAUGCUUGCUGAUGCAGGAAUGGAAAGGCCACGUCCAGUUUUCAGAUGAGGAAUUCCCAAAGACCUCAACUCUUCGACGAGUACAUGAAGAUUAACAUUAUUAAAUGCACCAACAAUGUCAAAGAAUAUACUAAUUAAUACUUCAUUAUUUUCCAUAGCUUUAAAGAUGUCUAAAUGAAGAAAUGCAAUACUUUCUCUAGAUGACUUACGGCGUCUGAAUCCAAACUGAUUUGAUGGAAAAUGAUAGCUGCCUAGAGAAUCAUCAUCACAUACUUGCCACUCACAAGACAGAGCCAGUGAAGAUGAAACAAGUGUUAAGUCCAAUGCAUUCUGCCUCCAUCUAUGAGAUCCUACUGUAGUCAUCUGACCAUCAUUCAAGAUUACAAGAUUGUUGUCAUCUAUACUUGCAAGAACAUCCCUACCUCGUGAAUCCAAUUCAGAACAUCCCCAUAAUGUGUGGUGGGCGUUGAAAUCGCCAGCUAUAAAAACUGGCUGUGGCAAAUUUUGGAUUAAAUUAUCUAGUUUUGAUUUACUAUAAUUAAUUGAUGAUUUAGGGGGACAGUAAACACUAACUAAAGUUAAUAAUUUAUCAUUAUAUUGUAUUUGUACAGCUAUGUUUUGUAAUGAGUCAUCAGAGAAUGUAUUGAUAACAUGAAAUCUAAUUUUGUUAUGCAGAAGUAUUGCUACUCCAUUAUGAUCAUUACCUGAAUCUAAUCGUAUAAUAUUAUAACCUUUUACCCUAAAAUUUUGCCUAUUACUAAGCCAAGUUUCACAUAUGAGAGCAGCAUCUAUAUUGUUCUCAUAUAAAAAUUGUGUAAAUUGAAAGCGAUUUUUAAUUAAACUCUGUGCAUUCCAUU